Molecule: ribosomal RNA, 559 nt
Filed under: uncultured bacterium
Lineage: Bacteria
Description: bacterial SSU rRNA
Rfam family: Bacterial small subunit ribosomal RNA
Source: RNAcentral
ACGGUCGCGUAACACGUAAGCAACCUGCCCUGAAGUUGGGGAUAGCCCUCCGAAAGGAGGAUUAAUACCGGAUGUGGAUACUCUGUCGCAUGACUAAGUAUCUAAAGCAGCAAUGCGCUUCAGGAUGGGCUUGCGGCCUAUCAGCUAGUUGGUAAGGUAAUGGCUUACCAAGGCGACGACGGGUAGCUGGUCUGAGAGGAUGGUCAGCCGGACUGGGACUGAGAUACGGCCCAGACUCCUACGGGGGGCAGCAAUUAGGAAUCUUGCGCAAUGGGCGAAAGCCUGACGCAGCGACGUCGCGUGACCGAUGAAGUCUUUCGGGAUGUAAAGGUCUUUUCUGGGGGAAGAAGGAUGUGACGGUACCCCAGGAAUAAGCCCCGGCUAACUACGUGCCAGCAGCCGCGGUAAUACGUAGGGGGCGAGCGUUGUCCGAAUUCACUGGGCGUAAAGCGCGCGUAGGCGGACAUUUAAGUUGUGGGUGAAAUCCCGAGGCUCAACCUCGGAACUGCCUGCAAAACUGGGUGUCUUGAGGUAUGAAGAGGGAAGUGGAAUUCCAGGU